This 1219-nucleotide long non-coding RNA is filed under the name Equus caballus (horse). Its description in RNAcentral is "lncRNA (ENSECAG00000047907.1)". The record is from RNAcentral. Lineage: Eukaryota; Metazoa; Chordata; Mammalia; Perissodactyla; Equidae.
GUGACUUUGCAUGUUUCUGUUCUGAUCUAUUUGUGAAUUAUCUUCAUUCAUGACCAAGUUCUUGUGGUCGAGGUGGAGGUUGCCAGGAGAGAUCAGACUGCAGGCUGCAGAUAAGUAAGUGGUAAGAAUAUUGGGUGCAGGAAGAGGGCAUAAGGUGCUGUAGCUACAGAGCUUUCAUGGAAGAGAUGGGAUUAAUGUGGCCGCCCACGGUUAGGAUUUAUACAGAGGAGUACUCCGGAUGGGAAACUUGAAGCAUACUGCUUAAGCCAUUUCAUUCUAGCCGGACCAGACGAUUGCCAUUGGGAUGUAGCGUAUGGGAUAAGUUUUUCCCAGUGCAAAGAGAAAAAGAAAGAUGUCUUAGGCUUUGCCUAAGGCAAACUAAAUCUCCAAGAAAGAGCAACAUCUAGGAAGAAAGUAAUGAGCUGAAGUCUGGGAAGUUGGAGAGAUGAGACAAGAAAGGAGCUGGAGACAAAAUGAUUCGGAAACUGAAUGAUUCAAAGGCAAGGAAAAGCACAAUGCGAUUGAAGGAUUUAACCUCUCUUCUCGAAAGUUCCUGACUAUGCCACAGCCUAUCAUUACUAGCGCGGUCUGCAAGACUUGUCAGAAAAACAAGCCUGCGGUAAUUGAAGUUUCGGGGCUGUCAUGAAGAGGUCUUCAGAUCUAAAUAGCUUCUGCAAGGCAAAUGGCUCCGUGUUUCUCAGGAAGAAAUACAAGAGGAAAAUAUAAUCUGUUAGCAAACUAUGCGAAGCAUAAAGUUUUUACAUCCAUAUAUUCUGCAUUUUCAAAGUGGAAGGGAUGUUGUGUCUCCUACUUGAUGUAUUUCCCUUAAUCAUAAAGAUGAUGUCAAAACUCAUUUGGAAACGUCUUCAGAACUCUCAUUAGCAACAUGAGGAAAAUUUUCAUUGACUUGACUGAAGGAACAGAUGAGCACGUCCAUAUAUAUUCUUGAAAGGGAAGACAAAAGCCUGCUCGCCAAUGAUGAAGGAAGAUUAGCCCUGAGCUAUCUGCCACCAAUCCUCCUCUUUUUGCUGAGGAAGACAGGCCCUGAGCUAACAUCUGUGCCCCAUCUUCCUCUACUUUAUAUGUGGGAUGCCUGCCACAGCAUGGCUGGACAAGCAGUGCCAUGUCUGCACCCAGGGACCAGGAUCCAAACUGGUGAACCCCAGGCCACCGAAGCAGAAUGUGUGAACCAAAGUGCUUUGCCACCAGGACAGCCCCU